Molecule: long non-coding RNA, 503 nt
Organism: Melospiza melodia melodia
Lineage: Eukaryota; Metazoa; Chordata; Aves; Passeriformes; Passerellidae
Exons: 3
Source: RefSeq, a predicted model, not a curated record
AAUUAAGAAUGCAUAGCUCCAUCCUCCAUUUGCAAAUACACUGUGUGCUCUUAGCAAUAACAUUGUACAGGAAAUACAGGAUCCAUUACUUUGGCUUGAAAAGAGGGUUCAAAGCUUGAAGCUGACCACUGCAAAGGCCACUUGUCACAUUUACUGAAAAUCAACCUAUUGAUAUCACAGCUGAAAAUAUAAACUCGACAACCAAAGCCCAUUGCACAACGUGGACUGCGUAAGAGUUAAAAAUAGAUUUGACGUGCCUCCUACCUGCAUAAUAAAUAUUCCAUCAAAAUCCUGAGCAGUAUUGACAAACCACACGAGCACCGGGUCUGACUGCAUGAUCAGCUGUCUGUGUCUACGCUACACCCUGUUAACCACAAGCAGUGUUAGAGCUAAAUAUAUCUGCAAUGCAGAAACAGUAGGUGCUAUGUGGUACACAAUUCUGAUUAGUUUUAAGAUAUUUUUCUAUCCUCAGAUAUAACAAAUAAAACAAAAUUUGCUGCUGA